UGGUGAGGUCGGUGACGGAACGCUGAGUCUCCUCAGCCUUGCUCCGGUGCUCAUUCAUCUGGUCUUCCAAGGUCCGGCACAUCUUCUCGAGAUGUGGCCCCACCGGCCUCCUCCAGCCGCUCACUGAUCUCCUCCAGUUCACGGGACAGGUCCGAGCGCAGCUUCUCUACCUUGGCCCUGGCUGUGCGCUCGGCCUCCAGUUCCUCCUCCAGCUCUUCGAUGCGUGCCUAGUCAGGGACACGGAGGUUCAGACCGGCUUCCUGGACCCCUCCACUGAGGGCCUCCUGAUGUCCCCCACCCCAGGGUUCUAAAGGAUCCCAUGUAGAACACCAAGUCCAUGAUGCUCUCCUGGGUCAGCUUCAGGUCACCCUCCAGCUUCCGCUUGGCUCGCUCCAGGUCCAUGCGCACCUUCUUCUCCUGCUCCAGGGAUCCCUCCAGCUGGCAGAGAGAAGGGCCAGCUGUGUACCACGAGGGCCUGGGAGCAACGCUGGCACCCAGCCGCUGGACAGCGCACAGUCAGUCCUUGUUCCUGCCGCAUGACCUGUGCAAGCUCCGCUGCUCCAUGUCUAGGCAACCGCUUCACAGUUUGGUUUGAAAUCCCCCCCUCCUUUUUUCCCCCCCAAGCACAGCUCUGAGUGCCUGCGGAUUAAUCCAGUUGAUUCAGUGUUUGAAGGAGAGAGACAGGCUUGGGGGAUGGGGCGCAAAGCAGGUACAUUUUGAAGGUGGGAUGGGCACAGCAGGGAAGGGGAAUUCCAGGAAGGGCUGCUCUGGGGUUUCUUGGUAACCAAAGCACAGCCUAAGGACACAGAGCAGCCCUGUUUACAGUGCAGAGUCGGGGGAUAAACCACAGACCAUGGAGGCUGCAUCCCACGGCAGCUGCAGCUCUGCAGUCCUCAAGCAUGAAGUUGCAUUUGCUAAGGAACAGGUUCCGCUGCUGACAUGCUCAAGAGAACAAAUUCUGGGGGGUCCCUUCCAGACCCUGCCAGAUAUUAAUAGAUGGGGCUCACUAGGAGGAACCUCGAGCACUGGAGGAAGGCAGCAUCUCUUUCAUAUGCUUUUAGCUUUCUAAGCACAAAGUAUGAAGGUGGCAUCCUGCCCAGCUCAGGGGCAGGGCUCAGGCACAGGGGCAUGCAACUGAGAUGAUAAAAAAUAGCUGGAACACAGGUGAGCCAUUUUAAAGUGCGUGUCUUUAGGGCCAGCCUGCAUGGCUGGGGAUUGGCUGAGGGAUGACUAGGAAGCUGUCUCUACAAUCAGUAACUUAAUCAGGUUUGGAGGGUUCUGGUCUAUGGGUGUUUAGGUGUAUUGCUUUCAACGCCCCACGCAGAAUAUAAAUCACUUUCCUAACUUUAAGUUCCAUGUCUCAUAUCCCAGACCCGAGGAUCUGUUGCCCUUCAAAAUUCUUACUCUGUCUCCAGCCCCUCCGACACCUGCUUUCGAGUCUUCUGUUUGCUGCUGCUGCUGUUGGAAGGUUGGGUGGCUUUGCCCACCCUUUCCUAAGCAAGCAUUUAUUGAGUGUCUACUAUGAGCUUGGCGCUGUUCUAGUCAAUGGGAAAUAGGGAACAAUGAACCAAAGCGAAGACGCCUGCCCUGGGCAGCUUCG
Alexandromys fortis (reed vole) is the source of this 1600-nucleotide long non-coding RNA. RefSeq lists it as uncharacterized. The transcript is spliced from 4 exons. NCBI's taxonomy places the organism in Eukaryota, Metazoa, Chordata, Mammalia, Rodentia, Cricetidae. The record is from RefSeq and is a predicted model, not a curated record.